RNAcentral lists this ribosomal RNA (253 nucleotides) under uncultured bacterium. Its description in RNAcentral is "partial 16S ribosomal RNA". It matches the Rfam family "Bacterial small subunit ribosomal RNA", at positions 524 to 776 of the family's 1533-position model. The record is from RNAcentral.
GACAGAGGUGCCAAGCGUUAGGCGGAAUUACUGGGCUUAAAGCGUGUGUAGGCGGAUUUGUAAGUACCUUGUGAAAUCCCACGGCUCAACCGUGGAACUGCUCGGUAUACUGCUUAUCUUGAGCCACUUAGGGGCUACCGGAACAAAUGGUGGAGCGGUGAAAUGCGUAGAUAUCAGGAGGAAUACCGAUGGCGAAGGCAGGUCUCUGGGCUGACACUGACGCUCAUGCACGAAAGCGUGGGGAGCAAACAGG